CCUACGGGGUGCAGCAGUGAGGAAUAUUGGUCAAUGGGCGUAAGCCUGAACCAGCCAAGUCGCGUGAGUGAUGAAGGUUCUAUGGAUCGUAAACCUCUUUUAUAAGGGAAUAAAGUUUGGGACGUGUCCUGUUUUGUAUGUACCUUAUGAAUAAGGAUCGGCUAACUCCGUGCCAGCAGCCGCGGUAAUACGGAGGGUCCGAGCGUUAACCGGAUUUAUUGGGUUUAAAGGGUGCGUAGGCGGCCUUUUAAGUCAGCGGUGAAAGUCUGUGGCUUAACCAUAGAAUUGCCGUUGAAACUGGGAGGCUUGAGUAUGUUAGAGACAGGCAGAAUGCGUGGUGUAGCGGUGAAAUGCUUAGAUAUGUGGCAGAACCCCGAUGGCGAAGGCAGCCUGUCAAGACAGGACUGACGCUGAUGCGCGAAAGCGUGGGGAGCAAACAGGAUUAGAUACCCUAGUAGUC
RNAcentral lists this ribosomal RNA (460 nucleotides) under uncultured bacterium. Its description in RNAcentral is "partial 16S ribosomal RNA". It matches the Rfam family "Bacterial small subunit ribosomal RNA", at positions 338 to 795 of the family's 1533-position model. The record is from RNAcentral.